AUUGGGUCUGUCAAGGACCUUGUUGUGCAGAGCGGAUGCAACUUUUCAAUAGCUGAGAUUCUUAGCAUGGAGAGUUUUAUACUAGAUGAGCUGAACUGGGACCUGUAUGCCACGACACCAAUCGACUUCCUUUGCAUGAUUUGGCACACUGGAGUUUGACUUCUUGGAAAGAUCCAUACUUUAUACUACACUCUACAAACUGGAAGUCAAAUAAGCGUUCCAUGCCUUGUUGAUCUCUAGACAUCCCCACCUUCCCACCAUGGGUCCUGAGACUCAGAAGAGGCCUUGCUUCCAGGUAGCAUUGUGGACCAGGCAGGUGCAGCACUGUAUGGCCUGCCACCAGCUGUCGCAUUUCAAAG
Oncorhynchus keta (chum salmon) is the source of this 359-nucleotide long non-coding RNA. RefSeq lists it as uncharacterized. The transcript is spliced from 3 exons. The record is from RefSeq and is a predicted model, not a curated record. NCBI's taxonomy places the organism in Eukaryota, Metazoa, Chordata, Actinopteri, Salmoniformes, Salmonidae.